RNAcentral lists this unclassified non-coding RNA (1079 nucleotides) under Hevea brasiliensis (rubber tree). The record is from RNAcentral. Lineage: Eukaryota; Viridiplantae; Streptophyta; Magnoliopsida; Malpighiales; Euphorbiaceae.
UUCACACCCACUCAAGCGGAUCGCUUUGUCUUAGCUUUUCGAAAUUGGCUGAGGCGACAUGGAAACAGCCAACCUGAGUGGUUUGGCUAUAGUGAUCAACAACCUUUGCCAUCAAUAAUCCUAUCAAAAGGCCAGAUGUUGGAUAGAUUUGAACAGCAUACCCAGAAAUGCUCAUCAUGUAAAAGGGCCUACACUGCAUUCCAAACAUUACAAAAAAUUUUAAUUGGUGCAACUGUGGCUUUCUCUGCUACGGCUGGGAUUCCCUCAGAUCUCCAGUUCAGGGUUUUCUUGGCCGGACUUGCAAUUUUAAGUGCCGGCUUGGCUUACAUCUUGCACCAACUGGGGAGAAAUUUUGUAUAUGUUGAUUAUGUACAUGCUGAAGUUGAAUAAGAAGACACAGGCAAUUAUAGAAGUUAAUCAAUUUUGUAACAUAUCAUGAUAGAAAGAUUUGUACCCAAAAUAGUUCAGAUUGAAAUUACUAAAAUAUGAUAGCUUCAUUUCCAAUUCAGUCAACAUACAUUAGUUACAAAAAGAACUACAUGAAGAUCCCUAACCCAUCAUGGUACUCAGCCUUCACAACCAGAAAGACCAAAUUUUUAUACCCAAAAACAAAAACCAACAACCUAAGAGCUAGUGAACUUAGUAACCGCCUUUGUACCCUCUGAAACGGCGUGCUUGGCAAGCUCACCAGGCAAAACGAGUCUCACAGCAGUCUGAAUCUCCCUAGAAGUAAUGGUAGGCUUCUUGUUAUACCUUGCAAGUCGAGAAGACUCCUGAGCUAGCUUCUCAAAGAUGUCGUUGAUGAAGCUAUUCAUGAUUCCCAUGGCUUUGCUCGAGAUCCCAAUAUCUGGGUGAACCUGUUUCAGGACCUUGAAGAUGUAGAUCUUGUAGGUCUCCACGCUCUUCUUUGUGCGCUUCUUCUUCUUGUCACUGGCGCCGCUUUCCUUUGGCAACUUCUUCUCUGCCCUAGGCUUCUUCUCCGCUGGUGCCUUCUCGGCCUUCUUCUCCUCCGCCGGUUUCUUCUCCGCUGGUUUCUUCUCUGCUGCCUUCGGUGCCAUCUGAGAAUGCAAAGAGAUCAA